UUGGAGGGCAAGUCUGGUGCCAGCAGCCGCGGUAAUUCCAGCUCCAAUAGCGUAUAUUAAAGUUGUUGCAGUUAAAAAGCUCGUAGUUGAAUUUCGGGGUUUAUCCGUUGGUCGGGCUUUUGGGUCUGUACUGGCGUGAUGAAUUCCUACCUCCUGAAUAACCAGCAUGUCAUUAAUUUGGUGCGCCGGGGAAGCAGGACUGUUACCUUGAAAAAAUUAGAGUGCUUAAAGCAGGCUAUUGCCUGAAUACAUUAGCAUGGAAUAAUGAAAUAGGACGGCAUGGCUCUAUUUUGUUGGUUUCUAGGAUCACCGUAAUGAUUAAUAGGGAUAGUUGGGGGCAUUAGUAUUCAAUUGUCAGAGGUGAAAUUCUUGGAUUUAUUGAAGACUAACUUCUGCGAAAGCAUUUGCCAAGGAUGUUUUCAUUAAUCAAGAACGAAAGUUAGGGGAUCGAAGACGAUCAGAUACCGUCGUAGUCUUAACCAUAAACUAUGCCGACUAGGGAUCGGACGAUGUUAAUUUUUUAAUGACUCGUUCGGCGCCUUACGGGAAACCAAAGUGUUUGGGUUC
Molecule: ribosomal RNA, 567 nt
Filed under: uncultured Glomeromycotina
Lineage: Eukaryota; Fungi; Glomeromycota
Description: SSU rRNA
Rfam family: Eukaryotic small subunit ribosomal RNA
Source: RNAcentral